GGCAGUGUCUCCAUGGUGACGGGGCUGUUCCUGGGGAGGCUGUGAUGGGUUGACAGGUGCGUGACAGUCGGAGCUCUCUGCAGGCAUGUACGGCAAAGGCAAGAGCAACAGCAGCGUCCCGUCCGACAGCCAGGCCAGGGAGAAGUUAGCACUGUAUGUAUAUGAAUAUCUGCUCCAUGUAGGAGCACAGAAAUCUGCCCAGACAUUUUUAUCAGAGAUAAGAUGGGAAAAAAACAUCACGUUGGGGGAGCCCCCAGGAUUCUUGCACUCUUGGUGGUGUGUAUUUUGGGAUCUCUACUGUGCAGCUCCAGAAAGACGAGAAACGUGUGAACAUUCAAGUGAAGCUAAAGCCUUUCAUGAUUACAGUGCUGCAGCAGCUCCCAGUCCAGUGCUAGGAAACAUUCCCCCAGGAGAUGGCAUGCCAGUAGGUCCUGUACCACCGGGUUUUUUUCAGCCUUUUAUGUCCCCUCGAUACCCUGGAGGUCCAAGGCCACCUUUAAGAAUACCCAAUCAGGCACUUGGAGGUGUCCCAGGAAGUCAGCCAUUAUUGCCCAGUGGGAUGGACCCAACACGACAACAAGGGCAUCCAAACAUGGGUGGGCCAAUGCAGAGAAUGACUCCUCCAAGAGGAAUGGUUCCAUUAGGACCACAGAACUAUGGAGGUGCAAUGAGACCGCCACUGAAUGCUUUAGGUGGCCCUGGAAUGCCUGGAAUGAACAUGGGUCCAGGAGGUGGUAGACCGUGGCCAAACCCAACGAAUGCCAAUUCUAUACCGUACUCUUCAGCAUCUCCUGGGAAUUAUGUAGGUCCUCCAGGGGGUGGAGGGCCACCAGGAACACCCAUCAUGCCUAGUCCUGCAGAUUCAACUAACUCUGGAGACAACAUGUACACUUUAAUGAAUGCAGUACCACCUGGACCCAACAGAUCUAAUUUUCCAAUGGGCCCGGGGUCAGAUGGACCUAUGGGUGGACUGGGUGGAAUGGAAUCACAUCAUAUGAAUGGAUCUUUAGGCUCAGGAGACAUGGACAGUAUUUCCAAAAACUCUCCCAGUAAUAUGAGCAUGAGUAAUCAGCCUGGCACUCCCAGAGAUGAGGGUGAAAUGGGUGGAAAUUUCCUAAACCCUUUUCAGAGUGAGAGUGAUCAGGAUGAGAGGGCUCAGAAGCUGAUAGGAACAAGCCCUAAAUCAGACGAGACCAAACAAAGAAAAUUAUGAAGGUCAAAACAGAUUUUCCCAAUUAGUCUGUUCUAAGCAUCUUGUAUUAGAGAGAAGAUCUAACCAAACCCUGGUUCUGAACAUCCUUCAACACUGGGAAAAGUACUCCCCCAGCAUGACAAUGAGUGUGUGAUCCAUACCAAGUCUCCUCAUGAAGACCGCAGUGAGUUGGCCCUCUUCAGAGAGCUACUACAGAAGAAAAUUACUCGUCCCAGUGUACAGUUUAACAAAAGGAUCUCAGACACAACCAGACCCACCAUCUUUUCCUACCAUCUCCCCAGUUUUGUGAAGAAAGUGGGUCCAAACAUGAUUCAAACAACUAUAAAGAGUGGCAUAACAGAACUGCCCAAGAGUGAACUGCAAACAAUUAUCCUGUGUAUGUAUAAGUGCGGAUAGAUGUAUAUGUGUGUGGAUAUGUUAUAUUGACAUACAUACACACACAUAUACAUAUAUAGACCUGCAGGACAUUGUAAAAUAUUAUCACAUGACAUCUUAAGUAGAAAUAAGAAAUAGAGACUUUUAUUCCAUCUUUUUUUCACGUUUACAUUUUAACUAUUAAAAUUUGCGUUCCCUCUCCUCCCCGAACUGUUCUGUGCUGCGUAUAUCACUGCUUUAUAAGUUAUUUUUUAAGGUGAACCCAAAUGGUCAAUUGUUCUGAUUUUGUAAAUGUCUGCCAUCAUGGAUAGGAAUAAAAUUGCUCGUAAGAGGGCUUUCACAAACUUGUAUCAUACCAGUUACCCUGUGAAUCAGAAACUGUGCUCUCUCAAGAAAUAGAAGAAAGCUCAUCUUAAUUUUGUGGGGAAAUUUAAUAAUUUGUCACCUGGCUUUAGUGGUAUUGGGGGUUUUUUGUGUUUUUUUUUAUUUGUUUUGCUUUUUUGUGCUUAGUACCUUUAAAAAUAGGAGCACUGAAGGUUAUUUUUCUUCCUCAAAUGAGGCCUAAUAUCUGCAAAAUCUACUUUAAAUGGAAGUCUGAGUUUGAUACAAGACUCAGUUUAUCCAGAGUAUUUUAACAUUGCUGUAAAUGAGCUCCAGUUGCUAUAGAACCCAGCAAUAAAGUGGCAGGGCUUCUUCAGUCCUUGGAAAUAAGUUUUCCCUUUAGCCUGAUCUUCCAUGUGUGUGGUAGCAAGUAGAAAUACAAUAAAAUCCCUAUUACUGAAACCUCUUUUUCUAACAAACUGCCAGCUCGUCUCCCUUUUCUAUUGAUUCUUGGCUGACUCCCAAUUAUCCAUAGUCCUGAUUAUCAGAACAUAUUUAGUGUCUGCCAAGCCAUUCAAAUAAUCAGGAUUCCACUGUACUUGAUUUGUUAUUUUUCACCAGGAAUACUAGAGCUGAACUCCUUAGAAACUUUCCAGUACAUAAUCACAUUAGUGAACCAAAAUGAUUGAGCAUUUUGUGGGUACUUCCCAUGCAGGGAAUGUUGGAAGGCUCAUGCCCUUAUAUCAGAAACAGAACAGGAACAGAGGUCUGAGCCUUUUUAUAAGGAAAUCAGGAUACUGUAUUUCAAAACUUUGGAGAUAGUGGGGAAAAAAGGAAAGUGGUUAUACGGCUUCCUGCACCAUCAAAGAAAAGCCUUUAGGAGGAGUCUCCUAUCCCUUAAUGUAAAGCUCUAAAAUCUAAGAUUAUAUUACAUUUAAUUCCUAAUGACUCCCAUCUUCCCCAAGAAAAUGAAAGGAUGUACCUGCGUGGUAUGAAAAAGGGUGAUAUUCAGAACCUCAGGCACAAAGUGUCUGAAUUAAAUUCAUUCUGCCGAUACCAAGCAAUGUUCACCCCUCAAAAUUCACACCUCAGUGGGAGAUCCCCAAAAUAUGGUGCUCACCUGCAGAUUUGUCAGGAGAAUUUUGCCCUUAAGUUGUGAUAAAGGGUUGCAUGUUAUGGGGGUCAAUGUGCAGGUAGACGUACAUCACUGCAUGUAUCAGGAGUAGAUCAAAUUCCCUGUUAGCAUAUAAAUGAAUAAAAUUAGAAUGUCUUUUACCCCACUGUUGGAACUACAUAAAGAGUAAACUCUUCUUAGGCACCAGGCUGUUACUAGAAAUUGUAUUCAGAUUUUAAAAAUUUUAUGAGACAUUUCCCUUUAGUUAAAAAAAAUAAUAAUGAUCAUUUGUAACCUAAAAUUAGAUAAAAGUAUUGAUAUGGUUCUGUUUACUUUACUCCCGGUUAUUAUCGAGUUUGAGUUCAUUUAUUCAUCUUUUGAAAACAACUAGUUUUUGCUGUCUCUCAAAAAGAUCCUUGGAGUACUAAUCAAUUUCACUUACAAAAAAAAUUCAAAAUUAGACUCCAGUCCUGCAACACACAUGUAUUUAACGUGACUACUGUGAGUAGUCUCACUGAUUUCAGUGGGACAACUCACAGUAGUAAAGUUAAAUGUGCUCACAUCCUUAGUAUUUACCAGAUAAAUGAAAUAACACCUUUUGUUUACACAUUUUCUUUUUCUCUUUUAGUUUUACAUUACCAGGAACUGUUUAUGGAUUCCUUCAUGGGGGAAUAAAUAUGACCAUUAAAUAAAAAUGAUGCAAACCAGAAUAUAAAAUAGAAAUCAUAUCCUUUAAAAUAGAACUGUCAAAAAUGUACUAAAUGUCCAGGACAAUGAUUUUAAAUGUAAAAUCACCAUCAAAAUAUUUUCUCCUAGUUUACCUACAAUAGCAUGAUGUACUUCUGGCAACACAGAUUUUUUUCCUGUGAUUUUUUUAGCACCCCCUUCCCAAUUUUGUCCCACUUGUAGCACAACCUCUCAACUUCUUGUGUCCUCACCUCCUCUUCCAGUCCCUUCCAAAAUAUUUGUGUUAAAUUAAACUGCUGAGUAAUGGGAUAGAUCCUGCAUCACUAAAGUCAGUAAGAAUUUUGUCAUUGACUUAAAAGGGAGCAGAAUCAGCCCCUACAGUACUUAGGUGGGAAUUAUAGACCCUAGUCCUGCAAAGAAUUAAACAUGUACAUAUCUUUUCACACCUUAGUAGUUUCACAGACUCCAGUGAGACCACUCAGGUAUGUAAAGUUGCACAUGUGCUUAAGUCUUUGAAAGAUCAGGGCUGUACAUAAUUAGAGAUGGAAAAAGACCCAUUUGAUCAUCCGAUGCAUCUCUUGAGUUGUUAUGACAAACUUCAUCACACAUAAGUAAUGAUCUCUGCUACUCUUACCUUCCCUUUUUAGAGAAUGAUCCUGCAAAAGUUUACAUACAUAAGUAAAGUUACUCACAUACAUGUUGGCAAGAGCAGGUGCUUAGAUCACACAUACACAUGUUUUGCAGCUAAGCCACAGGGAAUAAUAGUUGUAUUUGCUAAAUAUGCAACAUAUUCAAAGGACGCCUUUUAGCUUUCAAAUUUGUAUCGGGUUUUUUGUUUGUUAACUUUCUUUUGCUUACAAAAUUCUUUUAUAAGUUUGCAAUAUAGAGACCAAAAUUGAGAUGGAAGGAAAUUUUAUUUCCAAGCACUGAUUUUUUUCCCCUCCCACCAGUGUUUCUCAUGCACUAGAUGUUGAUGUGUACUGUAACUGCUGUUUGUUUUUAUGCUUAUGCACCAGCAUUGUCAGAUGGAAAUUGUCCAGAUCUGGAAGUAAUGCUAAUUUAAGAGCAACAGGUCAGCUUUCGCACUAAGUUUUAAGAUAGUGGUCUUUUUAUGUUUUUUUAAUAUUUAGAAGAUUAAGGCCUGAUUUGCCAAACACUUUUUUUUUCAGUAAAAUAUUUUAAAAGAGAAGAGAUGGAGCCUUAGAACAUCGAAAGCAGGGAAUAGUGGGUUUUCUUUCUCUCUGUAGAGAUGCUGGUUGAAAUCCUGGUGCUACUGAAGUGAGCAGGAGUUUUGCCUCUGAUUUGAAUGGAAGCAGGAUUUCACUGUCUAUGUAAACAUGUGCAAAGGAAUCUUUGUGUCCAUAUUUUAUUUCCACACAAAGGUUUGUGGAGACAUUAACUCUCCUUCCAUCUUCAUUAAAAAAAAAGGAGUGAAAGAGGUUGUAUGAAUCACAAGAACAAUAGGCUGCCUGAAAUGUACAUUAAAAAGUACCUUAAUAUUUUUAUAUAUAGAUAGGGCACUUAUAUUAUUUUCUAGUAAAUUUGUGUGUGAAGAACUGAAGUUGAGCUCUGUGUUGCUCCUCAGUUUAUUUUAAAAUGAAUUUAGAGUUCAUGAAAGGUGCUGGAUUUGAAAGCCCUUGAGACUAGUCUUUUGUGCACCCCACACUGCCCCAGUAGUGUGCCUCGACCUUGAUCUGGAGGGCCUACCAUUGCAAAGAGAGAGAGUAGUUCUGUCUCCAGUGCUUGAAGUCAUUUGUCUCUCUGCUGAGUGCCACAGUUGCCAAUUUUUAUUUGGAAACCUGCUUGUUAGGGAUUGGACCACCAGCUUAUUAGACAAUCAACUAUGGUAAUAACUUUCAGUCACCAACCCGCUCCAGUUUUGAAGUAGUGACCCAUAGGUGAAAGGCACCAUUUCCCAUGAGCCUGAAACAUCCAGUCCACCUAUGAGCUUUGUAUUUUAAAGGGAAAUAUUUUAGUUUAAUUAAUUAUUUUGAGUGGCUCAAACUAGCAGAGGUGAUUUAAAAACUUUCUUUUGUGUGAAUCAUAGAAAUAUGGGGCUGUAAGGGAUCUCGAGAGGUCAUCUAAUCCAGCGCUCUGCACUGAGGCAAGACCAAGUAUACCUAGACCAUCUGUGGCAGGUGUUUGUUAAACCUGUUCUUAAAAACCUCCAAUGACAGGGAUUCCACAACAACGCUUCCACAACCUGUUGCAGUAGUUAACUAUUCUUGUAAUUUGAAAGAUUUUCCUAAUAUAUAACCUCAUCUCCCUUACUGCAGAUUAAUCCAAUUACUUCUUGCCCUAACUUUAGUGGACACAGAGAACAAUUAUGCACCAUCCUCUUUAUAACAGCCCUUAACAUAUUUGAAGACUGUUAUCAGGUCCCCCCCAAGUCUUCUUUUCUCAAGACUAAACAUGCCCAAUUUUUUAAACCUUUCCUCAUAGGUCAGAUUUUCUAAACCUUUGAUCAUUUGUGUUGCUCUCCUGUAAGCUCUCUCCAGUUUAUCCACAUCUUGAAGUGUGGUGCCCAAAAGUGUGGACACCAUACUCCAUGAGGCUGGAAUCUCUGCGUUAGAAGGAUAACAAAUUCCUACAGUGGCUAAAACACAUUUGAAUUUUCCCCUGUCCCAUGAUUAGCAAAUGAAAUACUGUAUGUAGAGAGGGUUUGGAAUUAGAUGGGUAAUUUAAUGAGGGACCAGCUGUUACAAUAUUCAGAGUUGUAUAUUUUAAUUUUUUUUCCCUUGAUAUAAUGACUUUUCAGCUGAUAAAUAUUGCACUGAUGUCUAUUUCCUGGAUCAUUUAAUUAUUUUUUAAGUAUUUUAGCUCUGUUCCUAGCCAUCUUUAGUACUUUUUGUUGUUGUUAAAUGUGGGCCAAAUUCGGUAAGAUUUGGUCCUAUGCAUUGAAAGUUGUAGGGCACAACAAAUUUACAGAUUAAUGAUGCAAAAAAAAAUUGCCAGGAGAAGUAAAUUGCAACUGAUGAUAGCACCAGUUCCAGUCCCAUUUGGGUUUGUUUGGGUGGCUUUGAGGGUAGGAAUCAUGUUGAACCACAUAGUUUGCAAAUAAAAACUGUUAGACUCCCUUCCGUACAAGUGACAACUCAUUUCUCUUCAAACAAGCUGAUGUGGCAAUUUAAUGUUAGCAAAUGAUCACAUUAAGGAUCUAUCUCUAUAUUUCAUGGUGCAAAAAAACAGAGAUAAGAAAUUCACUUCAGCCCUCAAAUGUAAAUGAGUUAUACUUAAAUACGUUGUGUGUGUAGCUUCCUUUGUUUCUCCGGACAUUAUUGGUCUGGUGCUGCAAGCCCUUACUCAUGCAAGUUGUCCCGCUGAAGUCUUGAUGCAGCUGCUCAUGUGAGGAGCAGGUUUGCAGGAUUAUUUGCCUUGUAAUCUUAUUUAGCCAUAUACAUAGGUACAGCAAAAUGUAAAGGGCAGGUUGAAAUCAACAAAAUGAUGUUGGUUAUGAAGGGAAAGAGUCCAAUGAGCUCUUCAUAGAUACAAAUCAUUGCUUUGGCUGCACACAAUAGUUCAAUUUACCAAUAUUAUUAUAUUUGCAGCUUGUUACAGUAAUAAAUUUAGAAUGAAUAACUGGACCUUCCACUCAAAAAACGUAGUAAAACUCUGAUCCUGCAAACACACAAAGUCAAUGGGAUGCCUCACAGGCUUAAAUUUAAGAUGUAUAAGGAUUUGUAGGAUUGGAGCCUAAAUUGUUCAUUCUUGAGUCUUCCCUGAAAUAGACACUUUAUUUUUUUAAUUUUUAGCAAUGCAAGAGUGUAUUUAUGCAUCAAUAUAAUUGAUACCUGGAAUGGGAUUUGGCUUUCUUCUGUUUCUUAAUUUAUCAGACCUCUCUCCACAGCUACCUAAAAUAUUUCUAUGAAUGUGUCCUUUCAUCUUGUUUUAAAUUGUGCAUUCAUAUUUUUUCAUUAAAACAGUUAACAGCUGUGCAGUUUUUAUCCAAACUUAUGUUUGGUUACUGUUCAUCAUUUAAGUUUAAAAUAUAUAAGGAAGCCUCUCAUGUAAUGGGAAAACUUGCCAUAAAAAUGUAUAAAGGUGUAUGCCCUUUUCUUGGGUACAUGUUUUCACGUUUAAUAAAAACACAGUUUCCGUUUAUAACUUGAAACCUUCAGUUUCUAGCCACCAUUUAAUUUCUAUGUGUAAAGGAGGUAGAGAAAAUAAAUUGCUUUUGUUUUUCAUUUGAAUUCAGCAUACUAAAUAUUUGCUGAAUGACACAGCUUUGAGAAAUUGAAUCAAAACAUUUUUAUUCAAUCGUUGUUGUGAAUAACAAAUUACAUUCAAAAACUGUGAUUCCUAAAAUCAAAUGUGAGAAAAUUAUAAAGGCUCUAUUCACAAAUAUUUGAGUUUUUUGUGUGCACCAAUUUUUCAACUGUAUAUGAUGGAUGGCCAUCUGUGGCCAGUUAGCUGUGUAUGGCUUUGUAUUUGCAUUAAGCAGCCUCUGAACGACACAAAGUAGACGCACUGGCAUGUGCACAGAGUUUGGUAAGUAGUGGAUGAUUCACCUGCAAGAGUACACAAAGCCAUUCACUAAAUUCCAGAUACUCCAAUGUGUGACAAUCUCUGCUGCCUAGUUAUUCACUUCUGUAAAUGCUACAGUAUGUGUUCACAUGAUGAUGCAUUUGGGGGCUUCCUCCCGAUCUUCAUAUGCCAAGAAGAGAAUCCCCAGUUUCAUUUUACUAACAGCAAAAAUUUGGCGGCACUCAAGUCUGUAUAGAGAAUCCAGGGCAAACAUGGAUGAUUUAAACAAGAUUUUGUAUUUUCUCAGUGCCCUGUUUUACUGAAAUGGGGAAUAGGAGAACUGAAACACAUGGAAAGUAGGAUUGUAUUAUUUAUAUUUACUCCUGCCCCUGCACAGAAGGAAAUGAUAACAAUUACUUCUGUACCCACUUUUGACAGAAACCAAAUAAAAUGAAACCACUGUUAAUAAUUAACUGAUGUGAAAAUUAGGGAGGCAAAUUAUCAGCUGUGUAAAUUAGCUCUUCCUAGGUUUUAUUUAUAGAGUUAAUGUCUAUAUUCCUUUUUUCUCCUCUCUCUUUGGACUUCUGUUUUCCACCCAUCCUACUGCAUGCCAGCUGUUUGCACAAAAAUCGUGUGCAAUUGCUGCAAGAAUAAUUUACACAAAAUCCAUGCAAAAUGUUGCUUACAUUUGUGAAUAGAGUCCUAACCGUACAUAGAUUAUUUCAUUAGAGAUGUUGCAAUAAACAUUUUUUGUGUAAGAAAUAGCCUGUUUCCUCAAGGCCUGAUCCUGCACAUUGCGAGGAAUCCUCAGCACUAGAAAUUAGGGCAUGUAGCAUCUCACAGGAUUAUGCUCUAAAUCAGGCAACAGACACUCUGUGCCUCUUAAAAUGAUCUAAAACAAGAGUUGCUGUUUCCCAUAGAAAAUGGGGAGAAAAAAUCCAUCCUGAAUAAAACACACAUAAUCGAAAUAGAAGGCUGCAAUGCUGCUUUACUAAAGCUGUCCUUGGAAAGUCCAUGAUUUGAGAAUUGUACUUUAUCAGCGAGAAACUGGUUAGCGACACACAUCAACAAAAGAGAUAGCCAAGAUUUGGUAACUGCCCUGUUCUUCAAUAUAUAAGUGCAUCCCCCAGAGACUAUAGGUCCCAGCGGGAGACCAUUCAGAUGAAGGUGAGAUCCCCCUCUGAAUCAGAGAGAACAUUACAGACUGGGACAUAUAAUCGCCAUAGCCCAUGACUAUUAUAGAUAAGGGAUGGGCAAAGUCUGAGUGCCUUGCGUUUUGACAACUAGACUAAGAGUGCAUCAGAAAUUAAAGUGUUUGCAGAAAACUGAAAGUUGAUAUUUUUUAAAUUAUACUUUUAAACAAUAUUAUUCAGAAAUUUGACCUUCAAAAAUGUCAAUAAAAUAUUUCCCAGACCUAUUAAAAAUUUCUAAAGAACUCCCAGUUUUUAUUUGACUUACCACAUUUCAGAUGAUUUUUAAAUGGAAAAAAAAUUAAUUCCUAAGUAAAAACAGAAAAAUCAGCAUUAAACAAAGGUAUAAAUGAAGUGGAAGCUGGAGCUUUGGGGGCUUUUUUAUUUCUAAUAAAAUUUAAGUUUCAGGAAAAAAAGAGAGAAUUUUUACAAGAAACAUCUAUAAAUUUGUAAUGGCAAUUAAAGAAAUGUAAAUCAAAUUGAUUUAAGUGUGCAAAGACCAACUUUGAUUUGGGCUUUUUGUGGCAAGUAUCCCCUUGCAAAAAAUAUUGUGGUGCAUCUACUAUUGUUUUCCUUUUUGUGUGUAUGUCUGUGUGUGCACAUGCAUGCACAUGCCCAAUGUUAAAAACCCUUUAUUACAUAGGUUGGCCGUUCAUGCAUCUGGCAACACCUGCUUACUGUUGGGGGGAAGGAAGAAUUUACUAUCUGGUGGAUUAUAUCUAUUUCAGUUAUUUAAAGCAUUGGUAAACUAUUGUCAACUUGUUCACAUUUGCACAAGACAUUCUAUGUAGAAAAUGUAUAUUUUUUAAUGCUGGCAUUAUAACUUUGGCAAUCAUGCAUACUCUGUACAUUAUUGUAGGUUUUGUGUAAGAAAUCUUGUCACCAUUGCUUAAUACUGUAAAUUCUUGUUUCAAAGCAAGAGGUGGCUUUUGAUUGAACAGCCAUGUGUAUUUUAUGGUACUGUAGUACUUGUUCUGUUGUCAAAACUUGCUGUUCACAUGUGGUUAAAGCCUUGUUAAGCACGCUUAGGGGUUUCAGAAUUUAUUUUACACAGCACAUAUAUCAGCCAUUAACAGGGACAUUAAAUCAUAUGUAAUGAAAGAAAUUUCACCCGAGUUCAGGUCCUUUUAGAGAGCUUGGUGUUAGAGUUCAGCAAGCAAUUGCUGGCUGCAGUUUAACACAUUUCAUUGUCUUAAUGUUGGGUAUGCAUCAGUGUGUGCUUUCCAGUUCAGCUGAGAUUAUCCUUCCCAACCCAAAGCCUGAGUAACUGAACUCUGUGCAGGGAAAUAAGCAGGUAAUGGAUAUCCUUCUUUUUACCAUCUCCAACCCACAAUGCAGGCUACAGGACUACAGCAUGGCACUUCACUGCCACUGUUCCAGCUUAUAGGGGUCCCUGCCACUGUAACCAUAUAAGCAUGGAUCCAGUGGCCCCUCCUCUGGUCUACUUCUUCUGCAUCAGGUAGUGGACACAAGUGCAGGAGAUAAUGAAGCACUACCUGCAUACUAUGCUCACAAUCCCUACACAGCGCUACUAAUGUGCCCAUGUGAGGUACAAAGUCUUGCCCUCCUCUACUAAAUGAAUUGCAUUCUUAGUAAGAAUUAUUCAGGUGGCCGGCAAAGGAAAGUAAAAUUGAACUUCCCUCCCUCCCCAUUUUUUUUUUGUUAUUUUGUACAAAGAAGACCUGAAAUGUUGUAGGUUUUGGUUUUUUACAUAUUAGGAAUUCAGACCCUGUCUGGGCAUGGAUACUUUAUGAUAUCCGGACAACUAGUGAAACAGCUGACAGCAUGAGCCAAGAAACUUGAGCUAUUGAGAGAGAAGGAAUUUUUACUCAGACCAUUUAAAACUGGUUUUUGCUUGUUUUCUUUAACAGCUAUUUAACUGAAAUAACUAAUUAAUAUUUUGAAUAAAGGAAGCCUUUAUUAAAUACUUGACACCUUCACCCUUUCAAUUAAAAUGUUAAAAGCCCACGGUAAACAUCCCUUCUACUUCCUAGUGGUUCUCCCCCAAAAAAUCAAGGACAUAUUUGUGAUACUGGUAAGGUAAAAAAGAAAAAACUUUAAAAGAUCAUUUGAGAGCCCCUUUAUAUAUCAUUGAAAAGGCAAAAAGAGCACAAACCCAAUUAUACCAAAAGAUCCUUUGCAGGUCACCUUUAAACAACUAGAAAGGUGUGUCAUAGAGGAAGAAUAGUUUCCAAAAUUGUGAAUUAGACUACUAGUCAAUCCCUAAUUUUAUAAAGAAAGGAAAAUCUUCAUUCAAAAUGCAACAUUCAAAAUAAGCAGAAAUUUAAUUUGAGAAAACAAAUAAAUGUUCUAGGAUAUAGUUCAGAAAACACAAUCCUGUUUCCAUACAAUGGUACACUAAUAAGUUCAAAUGAAUAUAAAAUCAAAGCUGCUAGUAUGUGGGGGGGUCUCCCUAAAUUUUGUGGGUUUCUGCACCAGCUGUCCUAGUCCCCCAAACUUGAUCUUCAUAGUCUACAGCUGCUGCAAGAACCACUCCAUUUCACACCACCACCAUAUAAAGUUCAAAAACAAGUCUCACAAAUAUCAUCUUUGAGGGAAGAUUUCUGCUUUAAAAGCACAUAAACUAGUGAGCCUUACUUUAGAAUGGAAAAUCAUUCCAGGUGCAAAUCUCUUUAGACCUUGUUUGUGAAUAAUUUUUAAAAGCAUCCUUUUUAAUCAUUUAAGAAGGGAAGCAAUAAGUACCCAGAGAUCCAACAAGCUGCCUGACAUCCAUCACUUCACUUCCCAAAUGAUUGCGUUUUGCUUUGGGAGAUAUUUACUACUGUACCUGCAACCACUUGAAAGUUGCCCUCACAAUGCCUCUGUUUUUGAAUCAUUGGUCUAAGUCCUUUAGAAAACAAAUCAUCUAUCAAAGAAUGGAGCAUCCAUUUGUGAAAUAUUCUCCUGUUCUCCACCAUCUAUUCCAUGUGGUGGAAUUUUGGUAUGAUUGGCACUAUUGUGCAGAAAUGUGCACACUUAAUUUGAUGAUGAUUUUGUAGUUAUGUAUUGAGAAAGUGCCCCUCCU
This is an RNA transcript of Chelonia mydas (Green sea turtle), 12389 nucleotides long. It is a transcript of the gene named single stranded DNA binding protein 2, with no coding region annotated. The record is from RefSeq and is a predicted model, not a curated record. The transcript is spliced from 18 exons. NCBI's taxonomy places the organism in Eukaryota, Metazoa, Chordata, Testudines, Cheloniidae.